Molecule: ribosomal RNA, 466 nt
Filed under: uncultured bacterium
Lineage: Bacteria
Description: bacterial SSU rRNA
Rfam family: Bacterial small subunit ribosomal RNA
Source: RNAcentral
UAGGGAAUAUUGGACAAUGGGUGAGAGCCUGAUCCAGCCAUGCCGCGUGCAGGAAGAAGGCGUUAUGCGUUGUAAACUGCUUUUUGCCAGGGGAUAAAAUGACCGUGCGCGGUUAAUUGAAGGUACCUGGUGAAUAAGCCACGGCUAACUACGUGCUAGCAGCCGCGGUAAUACGUAGGUGGCAAGCGUUGUCCGGAUUUAUUGGGUUUAAAGGGUGCGUAGGCGGUUUAUUAAGUCAGUGGUGAAAGACGGUCGCUCAACGAUUGCAGUGCCAUUGAUACUGGUAGACUUGAGUAUGAUUGAGGUAGCUGGAAUGGAUAGUGUAGCGGUGAAAUGCAUAGAUAUUAUCCAGAACACCAAUUGCGUAGGCAAGUUACUAAGUCAUAACUGACGCUGAGGCACGAAAGUGUGGGUAUCAAACAGGAUUAGAUACCCCCGAGUCCCUGAGCGGGCUGGCAAGGCGCAU